RNAcentral lists this unclassified non-coding RNA (413 nucleotides) under Pichia sorboxylosa. RNAcentral's name for it is "[Candida] sorboxylosa sequence contains 18S rRNA gene, ITS1, 5.8S rRNA gene, ITS2". The stretch from base 224 to 352 matches the Rfam family "5.8S ribosomal RNA". Lineage: Eukaryota; Fungi; Ascomycota; Pichiomycetes; Pichiales; Pichiaceae. The record is from RNAcentral.
CGGAAGGAUUAUUAGAAUAGGGACUUGGGUGUGGGCGCCGUGCGAAGCGCGGUGCGAGGGUGAGCGCAGCGAGCCCGUCACAGGGUGAUCCGUGGAAACGCUGAUUAGCCUGUGGCGCAGUGGGGGCCAGUAGCCCCUCUACAUUGAUCAACACGCCCGACGGCCCAUCACCGCUACGCUACGCUGCGCGGGACGGGCGCCGGGCUACCUCGUAUCGUUACACAACUUUCAACAACGGAUCUCUUGGCUCUCGCAUCGAUGAAGAGCGCCGCGACAUGCGAAACGUAAUGUGAACCGCCGUGGAUCAUCGAGUUCUUGAACGCACAUUGCCCCCAUGCACGGGUGGGCGGGGAGCACACUUGUACCCUGACUAGACACACACACACACGGUCUUUCCCCCCCACGCGUGUAAG